AGAGAACUUUAAAACAGGCAAAGUGAGAAUACUAAUUGCAACUGAUCUAGCCUCUAGAGGACUUGAUGUCCAUGACGUUACACAUGUCUAUAAUUUUGACUUUCCACGGAAUAUUGAAGAAUACGUACACCGAAUAGGGCGCACGGGAAGAGCAGGAGUAUUCCAGAGGAGCUUGUAUCAAUGGCUGAGAGGUUUAAGGCACAUCAACAGAAAAGGGAAAUGGAAAGAAAAAUGGAAAGACCUCAAGGAAGGCCCAAGAAGUUUCAUUAAUGUCUUCUGUACUAGUGGGGUAGAGAAUUCAAGAUUUUUUAGAAAUAUAGUAAGACGGAAGUAUUGGACAUGUUGGCAGUAUGAAGAGACCGGAC
RNAcentral lists this long non-coding RNA (365 nucleotides) under Homo sapiens (human). Its description in RNAcentral is "HSALNT0335108". The record is from RNAcentral. Lineage: Eukaryota; Metazoa; Chordata; Mammalia; Primates; Hominidae.